RNAcentral lists this long non-coding RNA (9701 nucleotides) under Homo sapiens (human). RNAcentral's name for it is "non-protein coding lnc-SPATA9-2:1". The record is from RNAcentral. Lineage: Eukaryota; Metazoa; Chordata; Mammalia; Primates; Hominidae.
UCACUCAAAUGUGGGUUGUACACUCGAGGAACACACAUGAUUCCUAUUCUCCACCUUCCCCGCGUCUUCCCUCCCAUUCCCGGCGGGUACUCUUCCAAUCUCUGCAGCGGCCCCCGACGCUACCCUCGCGGAAGCCGCGGACCCCUGGGCGCUGAGAACCUCAUCCAUUCUCUAUUUACGUGUAAAGCACAGCAGGACAGAAUGUCGCUUUGCUUGGCCAUUGUAUACGGCCAGUGUUAUGCCAGCACCCACACAAGAGAGGACCUCUUGACUGAGAUUGUACCACACGCCCCCACCACCCCAAUGUGAUUGCCAGUAGGAAAAAAAUAGAAAAGACAUUAGUUUUUAUUUUAAAGGUUUGAAAUGCCAUGGAUCUGCACGAGCAUGAGAAAAACAGGAACACAAGAAACCUAACAGCGUUUUGAGCAAAGAGGAGACCUAUUAGCUGAAUUUUGAUCAAGAUGUGUCUUCUCUGUCCAAGAAUGAAAGUAUUUUAAUUAGAGGGUACUAAAGUCAAUGAUGUUGCUUUUAGGAGUGGCAGUGUUGCAGAUCGUUCCAAAUACUAGGAGCAGUGGGUCACAGCUGCUUUCUUGGUGAUGUAAAAUUCAUUUCAUUAGUCUGAAGAGGGCAUUAAUAGGUUUUAUGCAAAUGGUAGUGCAUUUAUUGCUUUUCUCCUAAUAUUUUCAUCCAGUGAAGGAUGCGUCAUCACACUCCUCAUUCUCUUGAUUCUGUUUUCCAGCAGAUGGGAAGUUGCUAGGAGGGGCUACGCCUCCAAUAAGCCUAGAGAAAAGGUGACUAAGAAAGUGAUAAGGCGGCCAAUUUUUUUAAAAAAGAAAUCCAAGUCACAGGAAAUGGUUUAGAUUAAAUGUUGCUGCUUUCAUUUUAGCCUUGUCUCCUCACAAACACAUUUUAGUUUCCCUGUUGGAAGCAUCCAUUUGUCUUUUUAUGCACCCUCCACGUUAAUCAUGGUGAAAGUAGAAUUUCCUGUACUUCCUGGCCUGGGGGCCAGGGAGGUAUGAGUGUUGUCUAGGGUUCACAUUCCCAAUCUGAGGAAACAUUUGGAACUUUAAGAUUCAUGGCCUAGGAAGAUUUGGUGGGUUCCAUGAUAGUCCUGCCAGCUGCUGUAGGAAUCCCAUUUCCCAAGCUGUUGUCCUUUGGCCAGAAACCUUGGUUAUUUUCAUCAUCAUCUCUGUGGUGCCUCGCUCUGGUCUGACAGGUUGUAGUUAUCAGUGGGUAUGUGUUGAGUUGAUGAAUUAGUGGAUAUACGAUGCUUUUCAGAUACCUUCGAGCAUAAAUGCCUGCCUUGACUAUAAAUCCAUCACCUAAGAAAAAAUUCCUUUUAUACUAUGCCAGUAUUGUCCAGAGGAGCCCAAGGAAGCUCUGUGGAGACAUAGGAAUAAGUGUUCCUGGUGGGACAUUUAAGAAAGCUAGAGUGAUAGCCUUGGAAAAUCUAAAAUCCUGGUUUGAUUUUCAUACUCUCCCUUUAGAACUUUUUAUCCAAGGCCUUUUUCUAUGCACACACAUCAUCCCAGUUUAUAAUGCACUUCUUCCAGGGAGCCUUCUCUGAGCAAUGUUCAUCAUUCAGUGAUUUUCCUAGCCAGUAUCAUUUCAGUGUUUCUCAAGAUAGUCUAUCAUUUGUCUCAAAUUUGUUGAAAUGCUCUUAUAUAUUAGCAUUUCAAAAUGACUAUAGUGAAAUUUCACAGAACUUUAGUAAGAUCUGAUAAAACAUUGAUUUUCAACAAAUUCUUUUUUUUUUUUUUUUUUCCCUUUUUGAGACAGGGUCUCACUCUGUUGCCCAGGCUGGAGUGAAGUGGCAUGAUCAUAGCUCACUGCAGCCUCGACUUCCUGGGCUCAGGUGAUUCUCUCACCUCAGCCUCCCAACUAGCUGGGACUGUAGGCAGACACCACCACACCCAGCUAAGUUUUGUAUUUUUUGUAGAGGCUAAGUUUCGCCAUGUUGCCCAGGCUAGUUUUAAACUCCUGGGCUCAAGAAUCUGCCCACCUUGGCCUCCCAAAGUGUUGGGAUUACAGGCAUGAGCCACUGGGCCUGGCCUAAACUAAUUCUUAUUAAAAUUAUACAAUGCACAUAGUUUUGAAAGUCAAAUGGAACUAGAAGGCUGAUAACAUAAAGAGUUCCCUGUCCUAUACAUCUCCACUUCUUUAUCCCCUCUUUCUAGAGGGAACCAAUUUAGACUCUAUUUGCUCUUUCUUCUGGCAUUGACUUAAUUCAUAAUAGUAAAUAAUAUAUAUGUAAUGCUAUUCAUUGAUUUAACAAAUUGAUAUAUUAUCUGUUAACUUCUUAUUAAAGACUUAUCUCUCGCACCUCUGUCACUAUUUCCAUUUCCCAUACCAUUAGAACAAUACUGUAAUUUUGGGUUAGACUUAUAUUUGGUGUUUAUAUUAUUAUGAAACAAAAAUAUUCACAGUUGAGUUGUAUAUUGUGAAUAUUAUUUUUUGUUAUUUUUAAAGUUAAUAAUUGCCUUUUCUUACUUUUCAUUGUUAUCAUAGCUAAUUCUUCCUGUACCCUCAAAUAGUCCCCCCAAGCAAUUUCCACAAGGUCAGUUUCAAAACGUAAUAUAGCAGCUCCAAUUUUUUUUCACGGAAACCUCUUUACCAGAGACUUUCAUUUUUCUCUUAUUUGGGCUAAUUUCUCCCAAGGCCUACUGCAUAACUACCAUCUGCGGACCUCCAUUUGUUGUCGUCAUUGAAACUUUCUGCCUUUCUCUUGGGUUGCAGUUCCUGUUUCUUGGAUCUCUGGUCUUUCUCCUUGAUUUCUUCCUUUUUGGUAGAACACAUCAUCUAAUAUUUCAUAAGGUUUACAAGGUUGUACAAAGCCUGAGAACUAAGUGGUAAGAGACCUCAUUGUACUCCUUAUUUGAGUCAUGCAGAUUCUGUCUGGACAUGUUGCCCUCUGGGCCAGCGGUCAUCCUGGCAUCUCACGUCAGCAUCGUCCUAGGGAUUCCUUUCACUUAUCUCAUGCUGGUUCUCUUGUUUUCUGAUUUAAUGGAUUUUUUUCUUUCCUGGUUUAUUUUCUUGCUUGGGAAGAAAGCACCUUUCAGUGACUUCUUGAGAGAAGGUAACUAUUUGGGAUCCCACAUGUCUGAAAAUUUCUUUAUUCUACCCUAUUGCCUAACUGAUUAUUUGGCUGGGUUUGGAAUCCUAUUUUUGAAAAUCUUUUCCUUCUGAAUUUUGAAGGCAUUACUCCAUUCCCUUUCUGGCUUCUGAGUGUUUGUGUUGAGAAGACUGAAGCCAUCUGAUUCAUGUUUUGCUUAGAUAUGAUCAUUGUUUUUUUCUUUCUAGAAGCUUGUUAUUAUUCUCUUUUUUCUAACCAAUUUUACAAAAAUGUUUUUCUAUAGGUUUAUUUUUAUCUAAUGUGCUGGGCAUAAUCAAAGAUAAUGAAUUAUAUUUGAUUGUAAUACUUAUUUAGUGGCCUUUACCUAAAUAGCCUCCCAGCCUGUCUUUUUCUUUUUGGGAUGCUGACAUUUGAAGAGUCCAUGACACAUGUUUAGCGGAAUAUCCUUAAAAUUGUAUUUGUUUCCACAUAAUUAAAUUUGGAUUUGACUUUUCUGGCAGGAACAUUACAUAGGUAAUACUGUCAAAAGUGUAUCAUUUCUGGGGUGCAUAAUGCCACUUUGUCUCAAUAUAAAUGUUGUCUCAAUAUAGAUGAUAUUAAGUUUGGCAUAUAUGUUUUGAAAACUCAGUAGUUUUUAAUUAAAUAAGCAGUACAUAUUAAUUGCAGAAAAAUUAGACAAUGCAUAUUCACAUACAAAAAACACUUAACAUACUGCUCAAAAAAACCUGUUGUUAAUACUCAGUGAUAUAUAUUUCAGGCUAUAAUGACUAGAUCUGUAUAUUACAGAAAUAGAUUACACUGCAUACAACAUUUUAUAUCCUGCUUUCAUUUCACCUAAGAUUGUAUUUGGAUCACUUCCCAUGUCAGUGAUAAUAUGAUAUAAUUAUCUGUUUAAUGUUGAAUGGAUUACAAUUAUUUAAAUAGCCCCCUAUUUUUAGACAAAAGUUUUUCUCAUUUUCACUUUAUAAAUAAUUCUGUGAAGAACAUCUCUUCACCUACAUCCUAGCACAUGCAUUCAAUUAUUCCCUUAUGAUAAAAUCCUGUCAUUGGAAUUGCUGAGGCUGAGCACGUGCAUUUUUAAUGCAUUUUAACAUAUAGUACUGAGUUAUUCUCAACAAGGGAUGCAAGCAAUGUAUGUGUCUUUUUCCCCAUAGCCCCAACAAUAUGAGCAUCAUCAGCGUUUGUCAUUCUCAUAGAUGAAAACACUUCAUUAUUUCUUCAUUUUAAAAAUUGAGAUAUACUUUAUAUAUCAUAAAAUCUAGAAUUUUAAAGUAUACAAUUCAGUGCUUUUUAGUAUAUUUACAAGUUUGUGCAACCACUGCCACUAUCUAAUUCCAGAACUUUUAAAUCAUUCCCAAAAUAAACCCGUACACAUUAUUUUCCUCUUCCAGCACCUAGAAACCACUAGUCUCCUUUGACUCUAUGGAUUUGGUUAUUCUUGACAUUUCAUAGAAAUGCAAUCACAUAAUGUAGCCUUUUGUUUUUGGUUUCUUUUGCUUUGAAUAAUGUUUUUAAGUUUCAUCCACAUUGUAGUAUGUAACAGUAUUUCAUUAUUUAUGGCUAAAUAAUAUUUCAUUAUGUGGAUACACCAAAUUUUGUUUAUCCAUUCAUCAGCUGAUGGAUAUUUGGGUUGUUUCUAUUUUAGGCUGUUUCCAUUUUGGUUGUUUUCAUUAUAGUGAACAAUUCUGUUAUGAAUAUUUGUGUACAAGUUUUUCUGCGAAUGCCUGUUUCAGUUCUCUAGAGUAUAUUCCUAGGUGUGAAAUUGCUGAGUCAUAUGUGAAUUUCAUGUUUAACUUUUUGAGGAACUGCCAAGCUGUUUUCCAUAGAGACUGGGCCCUUCCCACCAUCAUUGUAUGAGUUUUCCAGUUUCUCCCUUUGCGUAGAUGCAGUUUCUCAUUUGAGAUCAUAUUCCUUCUGCUUAAAGAAUGUCCUUUAACAUUUCUUAUAGUUCAGAUCUGCUGGCAACACAUUCUCUUAGUUUUCUUUUUUUUUUUUUCUGUCUUAUAAAGUUUUUAUUUUACCUACAUUUUUGAAAGAUACUUUUGCUGGGCAUAUAGGAUUCUAUGAUGAGUUUUUCUUUCAGUACUUGAAAGAAGUUGCACCAUUGUCUUCUAGUUUGCAUAGUGCUUGAUACAUUUUGCUCAUCUUUGUAAUGAUGUAAUUCUUAUCUUUUUGUUUGUUUAUUUGUUUGAGACAGAGUCUUGCUCUGUCGCCCAGGCUGGAGUGCAGUGGUGCAAUCUUGGCUCGCUGCAACCUCUGCCUCCCGGGUUCAAAUGAUUCUCAUGCCUCAGCCUCCCAAGUAGCUGGGAUUACAGGUGAGUGCCACACGCGGCCAGGCUGGUCUCGAACUCCUGGCCUCAGGUGAUCUGCCCAGCUAUGCCUCCUAAAGUGCUGAGAUUACAGGCAUGAGCCACCGUGCCUGGCUGGUUUCUUUUUUUGGAGUGUUUCUUUUUUUCUGUGGUUGCAUUCAAGAUUUUCCCCUUAUCUUGCCUCACUGCAACCUCUGCCACCUGGGUUCAAGUGAUUCCCAUGCCUCAGCCUCCCAAGUAGCUGGGACUACAGUCAUGCACCACCAUAUCCAUCUAAUUUUUGUAUUUUUAUUAGAGAUGGGGUUUCACCAUGUUGGCCAGGCUGAUCUCAAACUCUUGACCUCAGGUGAUCCACCCGCCUUGGCCUCUCAAAAUGUUGGGAUUACAAGCAUGAGCCACCGGGCCUAGCCCUUUGUAUAUAUUCUGCUUGGGCUUCUCUAAACAUUUAGGUUGGUGAUUUGUUGUCUUUUAUUAAUUUUGGAAAAUUCUCAGCAAUUAUCUUUUCAAUUAUUUCUUCCGACCUUUUAUCUCUUUCUAUUCUCCUUCUGUGACUUGAAUUACAUGUAUAUUAUGCCAUUUCAUACUGUCCCACAGCUCUUGGAUGCUCUAUUUUUCUCCACUUUUUCUUUUUCUCUUUUUUCCCCUCUCUGUUCCAGCUCUCCUCAGAGGGGCUUGCCACCUUUUGAAAUUCAGGAUUUUAUUUUGAAAAUUUUCUAUUCUAACCUGUAGUCAAGUUUACUAAUUCUUUCUUCUAUCUCUAGUCUGCUGAUAAGGCAAUUGAAGGAAUUCCUCAUCCAUAAUAACAUGUUUUUCAUGUCUAGUGUAUCCAAUUUAUUCUUUUUUGAAUCAUUUCCAUCUCUGCUGAAAUUCUGUAUAUGUUCGUGCAUGUGGUCCACAUUUUCCACUAAAUCCUUUAACAUAUUAAUCAUAGCAUUUUUACAGUUACUUUGACAGUUUCAACCUCUGGGCCAUCUCUCAGUCUGGUUCUGUUUACUGCUUUAUCUCUUGAAAAUUGGCUUCUUUUUUUUUUUUCUUUUUAACUCUUUUGCCUUGUAAGUUUUACUGAGUGCCAGACAUUAUAUAUAAAAGAAUAAGAGUGACUGAUGUAAAUAGUGUUUACUUCUGAAAAUGGCCAUGCCUCUUCACUCAUCAGGCUACUAGGGUGGUAAAUCUAAUCAGUAGUUGAGCUAGGUUUAGAUUUUGUUGUUACUACAGUUAUCAUUAUUAUACUGUUGACUUCAUAUUCCUCCAUACUGACAUCUUGCGUUUCAACUAUGAGGCCUGGAAUGGUAGAAGGUUUUUCUCAGUGUUUCUGCUCCAUCCCCAACUUUCAGCUGGCCCUUCACACUUGGCCACCAGAGUGGGGGAGGGGACGGGGAUGUUUCUUUCCAGGCUUUGGCCCCUCUCCCAGAAGUUCUGUGCUGUUUGCUGCCCAUGAUGGGGGCAGGGUGGCUUUCUUGGCCUUCCUGUUCCAACCUUUGUCUUAUUCAGGCCCUGGGGGCCUGAGCCUCAAGUGUGGGAGUUUCUCCAUAAUCCUGUCCCUUCCCUCUAUGGCAGCUGAAUUCUGUCUUGUAACUUCCAAGAGCAAAUUUCUUGGUUCUGUCCCUUUUGUGAGAAACCUUUGCUUUGUAACAAAGAUUCUGGGCAUGAAUAGGUUUCUCCAUCUUGCUUAGCAGUGAUAGCUUUCGCUGUAAUCUACCCCUCCCCAGUGACAGCUGACCUUUUGCUGAGGACUGGGGGUGAGAGUGUUUUCUGAUCCUGCCCCAGUGGCAGAUGUGUUUUGCUUUGUAUGACAAAAAGUCCUGGGUUUUAUGCUUGUCCUCAAGAGGCAGCCACUCUCUGUCUGUACACCCAUCCCACUAAGGGGGCUCCAUCAGGUCUUCUGCUCUGCCCCUAGUCUUUCUCUUUAAGUACCAUAUUAAGUCCAUGAAAGAAAGCUGGUUAGUCAGUGGGCACACCGUGUGUGGGGGGUUCCCAGAGUUUCUACUGUUAUUUUCACAUGCAUUUGGCCUUUAAGUAUAUGUCAAAAUAUCAGUUGCUUCUUUACCCACUUUUUUGGCUGUGAGUUUUUCCUCCCGUGUUCUGUCAGAGGUCUCACCUGUCCUUGGAGGUGCUUGCCACCUUUUCGAAUUUAGUUCACCUGUUGCCUGGCAAUCUCCUUUCUCUGAUAGGCUCAAGAAAAGUUUUGAUUUUGUAGAUUUUCUGCCUUUAUUUUUUUCUUUUGGUUGUUGUUGUUAACAUGGGAGCAGUAUUCCCUUGCAUCUUUGUCUAUCCUAAGUGGAAAUACAAUUCUCAAACCAUUAUUUAAGGAUAUCAAAACUUCACCGUAAAUAUUGCAAAAUUUAUGCAUAUUUUUUCUAACUUUUAACAUUGAAGAGUUUUUAAAUUUCCUUUAAUAAUAAAAAGCUUAAGGCUAAGAAUAUUAUUCUGAGUAUAGUUUUGGUUGUAUCAUAUAUUUUUCUAAAUGUUCUUAUUUUUGUCUGUAGCCAUGCCAUCCUGAAUGACUGAUCUAAAUUUUCUCAUUUUUAUUACUUUUAAAAUAGCAUAUAAUUAUAAUUUUUUGACUCAAGAAUUUUUUAAGACUCAGCUUUUUAAUGUUAAAAUUAAAAAUAAUUGGGUUAGGCCAGGCUCUGUGCCUCACGCCUGUAGCCUGAGCACUUUGGGAGGCUGAGACAGGAGGAUUGCUUGAGUCCUGGAGUUUGAGACAAGCUUGGGCAACAUAGGGAGACCCUGUCUCUGAAAAAUAAAAAAAUUAGUCAGGCACGGUGGCGCACACCUAUACUCCUGGCUACUUCGGAGACUAAGGUGGAAGGAUUGCUUGAGCCUGGGAGAUUGAAGGCUGCAAUGGGCUAUGAUUGCACCACUGCACUCUAGCUGGGGUGACAGAGUGAGACGCUGCCUCCAAAAAAAUUUUUUUGGCGGUAAAAAUUCUACCUAAUGAAAGUUUAAUAUACAUAAUUGUAAAUAAUACAUACAUAAUUGUAAACAAUAUAUAUGUAUACGCACACAAAUGAGUAUGGCCAGUGUAGAAGGGGGAUAAUAGUUCUAACAUGGGUCUAGAUGGUCUGCUUUCCACAUGAGCUUCUUCUACCUAGUUUGUGUUGAGUCAUCUCUUUUUUGCUUCAUGGCCCCUCAUUACCAAGUUCUUAGUUUAAUUCAGUGGUUUAUAGUAUGUUUUAAUAGCCAGUAAUAUUAAUCCCACCUCGAUAUUAUUUUCCCAUAAUUUUAUUACUUAUUUCAGACAUUAUUUUUUCCAUAAAAACUAUCAGACCAUUUCAUUCAAUUUAAAAAAUCAAAUAAAAAUAUCUCUUUUCUGGAAUAAAAUCAGGAUUGCACAAAAUUUAUACAUUAAUUUUGGGGAAGUGAUAUUUUGAGAUUAGAUCUUCCCAUCCAAGAACAUGCUGUCAUUGCAUAUUCAUAUUUUGUUUAUAUACUUCAAUAGAAGUUUAUAGUUUUAAAAAUCUAGGUUUGUAUACCUCUCAUUAAAAUGUAAAGUAUUUUCCAGCCUGACCAACAUGGUGAGACCCUCAUCUCUAGAAAAAACUUAAAAAUUAGCCGGGCAUGGUGAUGCACACCUGUGGUCCCAGCUACUCAGGGGGCUGAGGCAGGAAGAUCACUUGAGCCCAGGAGGUUGAGACUGCAGUGAGUGAGCCAUGUUCGCACCACUGCACUCAAAACCUGGGUGACAAAGUAAGAUCCUGUACCAAAAAUAAAUAAAUAAGUAAACAAAUAAAUAAAUAUGUAUAGGAUAACAUGAAUGUAAUAUUUUCUCUAAUUUCUGUUUUUACCUAGUGAUUCCUCUUAUAGAUAUAUGUGAGUCAACAUAUCGCUCUUGUUGCUCAGGCUGGAGUGCAGUGGUGUAAUCUCGGCUCACUGCAACCUCUGCCUCAAAUGAUUCUCUUGCCUCAGGCUCCCAAGUAGCUGGGAAUACGGGCGCCCACCACCACACUCAGCUAAUUGUUUGUAUUUUUAGUAGAGAUGGGGUUUCACAAUGUUGGCCAGGCUGGUCUUGAAGUGUUGACCUCAGGUGAUCCCCCCACCUCACCCUCCCAAAAUGCUGGGAUUAUAGGCAUGAGCCACCGCGCCUGACCUUUUAUUUUUGUAUAUGCAGCCAUUUAACAAAUUCCAUCCAUUCUAGUAGUUUUUACGAGGAUCUCCUGGGUCUAAUAAAUUGAAAAACCACAAACAGUAGAAAGAAUACAAAAUCCAUUAAAAAACAAAAACCAAAACAAGAUAAAGCUCCUAGUCGAUAUGGAUGCUUCUUUCCUGAGGAUGGUAGUUUGAAUAACAAGGUUCCAGACUAGUGGUUCCCAGAUUUU